GACGCUGGAGCCAGACGGUCAGGCGGCUGCCUGCAAAGCAGUCUCAAGUGGGUUCGACUCCCACCGGUGUCU
RNAcentral lists this transfer RNA (72 nucleotides) under Planctomycetaceae bacterium. RNAcentral's name for it is "tRNA-Cys". It matches the Rfam family "tRNA". From Rfam's summary of the family: Transfer RNA (tRNA) molecules are approximately 80 nucleotides in length. Their secondary structure includes four short double-helical elements and three loops (D, anti-codon, and T loops). Further hydrogen bonds mediate the characteristic L-shaped molecular structure. tRNAs have two regions of fundamental functional importance: the anti-codon, which is responsible for specific mRNA codon recognition, and the 3' end, to which the tRNAs corresponding amino acid is attached (by aminoacyl-tRNA synthetases). tRNAs cope with the degeneracy of the genetic code in two manners: having more than one tRNA (with a specific anti-codon) for a particular amino acid; and 'wobble' base-pairing, i.e. permitting non-standard base-pairing at the 3rd anti-codon position. The record is from RNAcentral. Lineage: Bacteria; Pseudomonadati; Planctomycetota; Planctomycetia; Planctomycetales; Planctomycetaceae.